AGGCUUUGAUCCUGGCUCAGAAUGAACGUUGGCGGCGUGGAUUAGGCAUGCAAGUCGAGCGAGAAGUUUCAUUCGGGAGACGGACAGCGGCGAAAGGGAGAGGAAUACGUAGAAAUCUACCCCUGAGUCCGGGAUAGCGUCGGGAAACUGGCAGUAAUACCGGAUAACGUCUUCGGACCAAAGGUGUGAUUCCGCUCGGGGAUGAGUCUACGCCCUAUUAGCUAGUUGGUGGGGUAAUGGCCUACCAAGGCAAUGAUGGGUAGCGGGUGUGAGAGCAUGACCCGCCUCACUGGGACUGAGACACUGCCCAGACACCUACGGGUGGCUGCAGUCGAGAAUCUUUGUCAAUGGACGAAAGUCUGAACAAGCGACGCCGCGUGCGGGAUGAAGGCCUUCGGGUUGUAAACCGCUGUCGUAGGGGAACAACAUGUAGAGGGGUUCUCCCCUUUAUUGAGUGAUCUAGGAGGAAGGAUCGGCAUAGUUGAGUC
RNAcentral lists this ribosomal RNA (488 nucleotides) under uncultured Pirellula sp. RNAcentral's name for it is "bacterial SSU rRNA". It matches the Rfam family "Bacterial small subunit ribosomal RNA", at positions 8 to 509 of the family's 1533-position model. Lineage: Bacteria; Pseudomonadati; Planctomycetota; Planctomycetia; Pirellulales; Pirellulaceae. The record is from RNAcentral.